Molecule: ribosomal RNA, 250 nt
Filed under: uncultured bacterium
Lineage: Bacteria
Description: partial 16S ribosomal RNA
Rfam family: Bacterial small subunit ribosomal RNA
Source: RNAcentral
UACGUAGGGCGCAAGCGUUGUCCGGAAUUAUUGGGCGUAAAGGGCUCGUAGGUGGUUUGUUACGUCUGCUGUGAAAACCUAGGGCUUAACCCUGGGCCUGCAGUGGAUACGGGCAGACUAGAGGUAGGUAGGGGAGAAUGGAAUUCCCGGUGUAGCGGUGAAAUGCGCAGAUAUCGGGAGGAACACCGGUGGCGAAGGCGGUUCUCUGGGCCUUACCUGACACUGAGGAGCGAAAGCGUGGGAGCGGAAC